This 98-nucleotide transfer RNA is filed under the name Thermoflexaceae bacterium. RNAcentral describes it as "tRNA-Sec". It matches the Rfam family "Selenocysteine transfer RNA". RNAcentral also lists the same sequence under 1 other name. Lineage: Bacteria; Bacillati; Chloroflexota; Thermoflexia; Thermoflexales; Thermoflexaceae. The record is from RNAcentral.
GGGAGUGGGUGGGGCCCGGUGGUCCUCGCCGUCUUCAAAACGGUUGCCCUGUCGCAAGCGCGGCGGGGGGUGGGUUCGACUCCCAUGCACUCCCGCCA